CCUCCCAAAGUGCUGUGAUUACAGGUGUGAGCCACUGCACCUGGCCUCUUCAUAUCUUACAACGAAAAGCACCAAGGAUUCUCUUUUGUUGAAUUUGAGUUGGCAGAGGAUGUUGCAGCAGCUGUCAACAACAUGUUUGGUCAGAUGAAGACUGGGUGGAGAAGUUUGCUGGGAAGAGGAUAAAGAGGAAGGUGGUUGAGACUUCCCAAAGCAGAAAGCCAGGAGGUGAGAAAUAUCUUAUGUGGGCUCAGGUAUUUGUGAUUGCUGCUGAGCAAGGCGGAUAUCUGAGGUGAGAAAGGAUGCGCAGCCCAUUUACUGCCUUCUCCAGGAAGCUUUUCUGAAUCCUCCAGUGAGUAAGGGAGAGCCCACUGCUAAAAAAGGCCUAGUCAAAUCCUCAGGUGUACAUGGACAUCAAGAUUGGGAACAAGCCGGCUGGCUGCAUCCAAACCCUCCUGCGUUCCGACGUCGUGCCCAUGACCACAGAGAAUUUUCUCUACAUGUGCACCCAUUUAAAGGACUCGGCUUCAAGGGAAGCAGCUUCCACCGCAUUAUCCCCCAGUUCAUUUGCCAGGGCAGUGAUUUCACAAACCACGGUGGCACCAGGGGUCUGCGCAGGCAUGGCACUAAGUGUCCCAUGGCACAUUUGGCCCUCAUGGAGGCCUCAAAAGGGCAGGACCAGCACCCUCUUCUACGGAGGAAGGAACGGGCACAGCAGGUUGCCCCAGACACCAAGGCAUCAAAAGCCAGGGGAUCCAGAGAAAACACAGACAGCCAAGAGAGAAACUGCGGGAAAAAGCCAAAAGGUUGAGAGCCACACCAUCUAGAAGCUUCCUGCCUGUGGUGCGGCACAGAAACAAGGAGAGUCAGCAAUUACCAGCCAGCCAAGGUCCUGGAAGCUGACGUAGAGCUCGUGCCGACGGCAGACCUGCCGGCCGUGGGAGCCGCGGACGUCAUCUGCAGGGACAGAAGGGGCAAGGUCUUUUCUGGGGUUCCUGCUGUGUGCAGCUACUAUGGGGUACCAGGGUGGGGGAUGCCCUGAUGAGCACAUUUGUCAAAUAAAUGAAUGACAG
This is a long non-coding RNA of Homo sapiens (human), 1070 nucleotides long. Ensembl annotates it as peptidylprolyl isomerase E like (pseudogene). Its record names the gene PPIEL. The record is from Ensembl. NCBI's taxonomy places the organism in Eukaryota, Metazoa, Chordata, Mammalia, Primates, Hominidae.